UACAGAGGGUGCAAGCGUUAAUCGGAAUUACUGGGCGUAAAGCGCACGUAGACGGUUUUUUAAGUCAGAUGUGAAAGCCCCGGGCUCAACCUGGGAAUUGCAUUUGAAACUGGGAAACUAGAGUGUGUGAGAGGGGGGUAGAAUUCCAAGUGUAGCGGUGAAAUGCGUAGAGAUGUGGAGGAAUACCAGUGGCGAAGGCGGCCCCCUGGCACAACACUGACGCUCAGGUGCGAAAGCGUGGGGAGCAAACAGG
This 253-nucleotide ribosomal RNA is filed under the name uncultured bacterium. RNAcentral's name for it is "partial 16S ribosomal RNA". It matches the Rfam family "Bacterial small subunit ribosomal RNA", at positions 524 to 776 of the family's 1533-position model. The record is from RNAcentral.